RNAcentral lists this ribosomal RNA (502 nucleotides) under uncultured bacterium. RNAcentral describes it as "partial 16S ribosomal RNA". It matches the Rfam family "Bacterial small subunit ribosomal RNA", at positions 28 to 507 of the family's 1533-position model. The record is from RNAcentral.
GACGAACGCUGGCGGCGUGCCUAAUACAUGCAAGUCGAACGAACCGCGACUGAGUGCUUGCACUUGGUCAAGGUGAGUGGCGAACGGGUGAGUAAACGUGGGGUAACUUACUCAAAGGUGGGGAUUACAAGCGGGAACCGCUGCUUAUACCGCCUAAGACAUGGAAUUCACUGGUUCUGUGAGGGAAGGGUGCGCAAACUAUCCCCAAGGGAUGGACCCCGCGUUGCAUUAGCUAGUUGGUAGGGUAAGGGCCUACCAAGGCGAUGAUGCAUAGCCGACCUGAGAGGGUGAUCGGCCACAUUGGGACUGAGACACGGCCCAAACUCCUACGGGAGGCAGCAGUAGGGAAUCUUCCGCAAUGGACGCAAGUCUGACGGAGCAACGCCGCGUGAGUGAAGAAGGUCUUCGGAUCGUAAAGCUCUGUUGUUAGAGAAGAACAGCGCAUAGAGUAACUGUUAUGCGUGUGACGGUAUCUAACCAGAAAGCCACGGCUAACUACGUG